AUUGAACGCUGGCGGCAGGCUUAACACAUGCAAGUCGAGCGGAGAGAGGUAGCUUGCUACUGAUCUUAGCGGCGGACGGGUGAGUAAUGCUUAGGAAUCUGCCUAUUAGUGGGGGACAACAUUUCGAAAGGAAUGCUAAUACCGCAUACGUCCUACGGGAGAAAGCAGGGGAUCUUCGGACCUUGCGCUAAUAGAUGAGCCUAAGUCGGAUUAGCUAGUUGGUGGGGUAAAGGCCUACCAAGGCGACAAUCUGUAGCGGGUCUGAGAGGAUGAUCCGCCACACUGGGACUGAGACACGGACCAGACUCCUACGGGGGGCAGCAGUGGGGAAUAUUGGACAAUGGGCGCAAGCCUGAUCCAGCCAUGCCGCGUGUGUGAAGAAGGCCUUAUGGUUGUAAAGCACUUUAAGCGAGGAGGAGGCUACUUUAGAUAAUACCUAGAGAUAGUGGACGUUACUCGCAGAAUAAGCACCGGCUAACUCUGUGCCAGCCGCCGCCGUAA
RNAcentral lists this ribosomal RNA (501 nucleotides) under uncultured bacterium. Its description in RNAcentral is "partial 16S ribosomal RNA". It matches the Rfam family "Bacterial small subunit ribosomal RNA", at positions 30 to 523 of the family's 1533-position model. The record is from RNAcentral.